This 309-nucleotide ribosomal RNA is filed under the name uncultured bacterium. RNAcentral describes it as "bacterial SSU rRNA". It matches the Rfam family "Bacterial small subunit ribosomal RNA", at positions 28 to 334 of the family's 1533-position model. The record is from RNAcentral.
GACGAACGCUGGCGGCGUGCUUAACACAUGCAAGCCGAACGCUGAAACCAAAGCUUGCUUUGGUGGAUGAGUGGCGAACGGGUGAGUAACACGUGAGUAACCUGCCCAUCACUCUGGGAUAAGCACUGGAAACGGUGUCUAAUACUGGAUAUGCACGACGGCCGCAUGGCCUGUUGUGGGAAAGAUUUAUCGGUGAUGGACGGACUCGCGGCCUAUCAGCUAGUUGGUGAGGUAAUGGCUCACCAAGGCGACGACGGGUAGCCGGCCUGAGAGGGUGAUCGGCCACACUGGGACUGAGACACGGCCCAU